This 160-nucleotide ribosomal RNA is filed under the name uncultured bacterium. RNAcentral's name for it is "partial 16S ribosomal RNA". It matches the Rfam family "Bacterial small subunit ribosomal RNA", at positions 355 to 507 of the family's 1533-position model. The record is from RNAcentral.
UGGGGAAUAUUGGACAAUGGGGGCAACCCUGAUCCAGCGAUGCCGCGUGGGUGAAGAAGGCCUUCGGGUUGUAAAGCCCUUUAGGUUGGGAAGAAGUGUGCGUGGUGAUAAGCCAUGUACAUUGACGGUACCGACAGAAUAAGCACCGGCAAACUCUGUG